UACCCUGGUCCUCAUUCUGGAGUUCAC
RNAcentral lists this non-coding RNA (27 nucleotides) under Cricetulus griseus (Chinese hamster). The record is from RNAcentral. Lineage: Eukaryota; Metazoa; Chordata; Mammalia; Rodentia; Cricetidae.